GCCGGAGUGGUGGAAUGGCAGACACGCGGGAUUCAAAACCCCGUGGGGCAACCCGUGAGGGUUCGACUCCCUCCUCCGGCA
This 81-nucleotide transfer RNA is filed under the name Candidatus Uhrbacteria bacterium. RNAcentral's name for it is "tRNA-Leu". It matches the Rfam family "tRNA". From Rfam's summary of the family: Transfer RNA (tRNA) molecules are approximately 80 nucleotides in length. Their secondary structure includes four short double-helical elements and three loops (D, anti-codon, and T loops). Lineage: Bacteria; Candidatus Uhriibacteriota. The record is from RNAcentral.